UAUACAAACUGUAGUGCCACGCUGUCUUCAGAGUACCAACAUCAAGAGCUUUGUCCUCUGGAGUGGGUAGGGCAUAGGGAUGAUCACUUUCAAUUGGGAUAAGAAAAAGUAUCAAAUAUCUCUGCGUCACAUUCAAAACGCAGGAUUUAAAAGAACGUUGGUCCGCUAGUAGGACGGCUCUUUAUAACUGUAUCUUUUGAAGACCUCCCGAUAGCCUGGAAGAGUUUGGCAUUUUGAAGAAAUAAUUACGUAAAAUGGAUAAAUUCUGGAUAGAAAACAUUGACAAGACUGUGCGCAAAGAAACAGACCUAAGAAUUAAAAGAAGUGUCCACAUUGUGAAAUCAUCAAGAGCGGAGUUCAUGAAACUCCAUUUGGCUUCGGUUGAACCUCUGGGCAGAUUCACCACAUUGAAGAAAAGAGGAGAAAACCUUUUCCAGUGGAGGUGUGAAAGAUCCAGGAUCCCAAGGGGUCAGUCAACAGGUUGCCCAACUAAGUCCAAGGCAAAUCAUUGUGGAGCAUACAUAUCAUUUCAGUUUAAGAGUGAUAGAAAUAUUGAUUGCUGUAUUGUACGGCUCCAACCAGAGCACUCAGGUCACAAUCUUGACAGUACUAAUGAGAAUGUUGUCUUUGAUUCGGCCACAUACAUGGACACGGACGAACAACCCAACAAAGGUGCUGUUGCAGUUGUAGAGUCACGUGUGAACGCAUGCAUUGCUAUACAGACUAACUCAACGCCCAGCACACAAUCAGAUACAGACGCACAAAACAAAGACACAAAAGAUGCUCUUACAGAAACCAAAAAACACACCGACACAGAUUCUGCUAUAGACACGAGCACUGUCUUCAAAGAAGUGGAGAGCAUCCUACCGUUGUCUUGUGGACUCCGAAAACGAAGAUAUCCCGUGUCUAUUGGAGAGGUGAAGAGGAGGGUGGGGCCUCCAGAAAAUAUGUCCCUAGCUUCUCUGGUCGCCUAUUUAAGGGAGGAUAAGAACAAGAAAGACACCCUGAGACAGGAUUUCCAGAAAACUGGCAUACACCUGUGGCCAACGACAACUGUGACAUCUUUGUGUUCCAGAGUCACAGAAGGUGAGGCUGCAGACCUUGGUCGUAGUAUUGGGAAACUGGCAGCAACCACAAUUCCCUUUGAUGACAUCUCAGUAGUGGACCAUCAGCAUGAAGACAUUUCAAUUAAGAAACUCUGUGAAUUUAAGGAGAUGCUGCAUAGCACAGUGACUGCGGUGAAAGCACAGAGUUUAGACUUCAACUUGGCCACACACGGACUGGGGUUAGGAUUGCUCGAUGUGUACACAAAUAUUAUCAUAACUGUUACAGAAAAGGGAAUUGAAAAACUUUGGGAAAAUAGAUAGUAUAAUAAUUCAGUGAGAAAUUAUUAUUUUGAUUGAGACUGCUUCAUUCUUUAUUUGUAUACAAGUUCAACAUGUUUUCAUGGAAACACUUUACUAUAAGGUUGUAUUUGUACAUUAUUUAACAUUAAUCAACAAUAAACAAUACUUUUUCAGCACUUAUUAAUCUUGAUUAAUGCAGGGAUGCAAACUCAUGAGAGGUUAAAAAGGUGAGAAAGUCAUAGGAGGUGUUCUAGAUAUAUAUUUUUAGUUGAUUUAUUUAUUGAAUUUACAUGUUUUUUUUUUUUUUUUCGCAUUUAAAGCCUUUAAAGUGUUUGUCACAAAGCGAGAGCGAGACAAAGAGACCCAAGAGCAGAGGAACAGUUCAAAGGAUUUAUUAACAAUAAAUAUUAACUUCCACUGUUCUGGUGAAGACUGAGGAUCCCGUCACCGGCUGCAGUUGCGGGGAGGAGUUUGAGGAUGCUUGCGCGCUGUGGCCGUGCAGUGAGCAAAUCCGUGAAUAGUGUGUUUGUAGGCGAGUGUGUGCAUUGUGGAAAUCAGGAGCAGAUUCAUAGGAAUCCUCCGUUGAAGCGUAGUGAGGUGCAGAAAACAACGCCCAAUCGACUGGGAGGCAAUCACUCUCCCGACACGUGGGCAGAGACGAGGAGUCCUCCGUUGAAGACUCGUGAGCGCAGAGAACAAGCGUACAGCAAACUGGAAGGCAACCACAGUCCCGACAUGUGGGCAGAGAUGGGCAACUAAACGGAUGCACAAGACAGGACCGACUAGGCAGAGAGAGUGAGACCCCCUAGCGCUCCUUUGUGGCCCCCUGGGGGUCCCCGGACCCCAGUUUUAAAACCCUUGAUAAGUGGCAUUCGAAGAGCACUGGGACACUUUACUGUUUGUAUCCCUCUUCUUGUCUGUCAUGGUUUUCCAGACAAACUGUCUGUCUGUGCGUUGCUCAGGUUGAAUAGAACUAAAAUAAAUGUCCAUAAUGUAUCUAAAAGGUGAGUAUUCCUGUAUUUUGGAGUAUUCCUGGAACCUGUAUUCUUUCAGUGUGUUGUCCUGCAUAAUCAUGAAUUUGAGAAAACAGCUGUACAGACACCUAACUUACACUUUCCAAUUGAGAGCAGAAUCUCAUGAGCUUUGGCACACGGAGCAGACAAAUCAUACCCAGAACCUUCACAAACAUAAGCACUCGCAACAUCUUUGAAGCUAUCAGUGAACUUGUAUCCACAUUAUAAUUCUGCUCCUGAGAAAAAUUAAACAUGCUUUUGUUUGAGAAAGGUUAAAUAAUGCAUUUUAAAUAUGCAAUGUUAUAUGAAUGAUGCUUGCUAUAUUAAUAGGAUAAACAAAA
Molecule: RNA transcript, 2700 nt
Organism: Myxocyprinus asiaticus (Chinese sucker)
Lineage: Eukaryota; Metazoa; Chordata; Actinopteri; Cypriniformes; Catostomidae
Exons: 7
Source: RefSeq, a predicted model, not a curated record